UACGGGGGGGGCAAGCGUUGUUCGGAAUUACUGGGCGUAAAGGGCUUGUAGGCGGCCAACUAAGUCAGACGUGAAAUCCCUCGGCUUAACCGGGGAACUGCGUCUGAUACUGGAUGGCUUGAGAUUGGGAGAGGGAUGCGGAAUUCCAGGUGUAGCGGUGAAAUGCGUAGAUAUCUGGAGGAACACCGGUGGCGAAGGCGGCAUCCUGGACCGAGAUUGACGCUGAGGCGCGAAAGCCAGGGGAGCAAACGGG
RNAcentral lists this ribosomal RNA (253 nucleotides) under uncultured bacterium. RNAcentral describes it as "partial 16S ribosomal RNA". It matches the Rfam family "Bacterial small subunit ribosomal RNA", at positions 524 to 776 of the family's 1533-position model. The record is from RNAcentral.